RNAcentral lists this ribosomal RNA (468 nucleotides) under uncultured bacterium. RNAcentral's name for it is "partial 16S ribosomal RNA". It matches the Rfam family "Bacterial small subunit ribosomal RNA", at positions 28 to 507 of the family's 1533-position model. The record is from RNAcentral.
GACGAACGCUGGCGGCGUGCUUAACACAUGCAAGUCGAACGGAAAGGCCCUGCUUUUGUGGGGUGCUCGAGUGGCGAACGGGUGAGUAACACGUGAGUAACCUGCCCCUGACUUUGGGAUAACUUCAGGAAACUGGGGCUAAUACCGGAUAGGAGCUCCUGCUGCAUGGUGUGGGUUGGAAAGUUUCGGCGGUUGGGGAUGGACUCGCGGCUUAUCGGCUUGUUGGUGGGGUAGUGGCUUACCAAGGCUUUGACGGGUAGCCGGCCUGGGAGGGUGACCGGGGACAAUAGGACUGAGAUACGGACCAGACUCCAACGGGACGCAGAAGUGGGGAGUAUUGCACAAUGAGCGGAAGCCUGAUACAGCAACGCUGCGUGCGUGAUGCCGGGCUUCGGGUUGAAAACCGCUUUGGACUGUGACGAAGCGUGAGUGACGGUAAUGGGUAAAGAAGCACCGGCUAACUACGUG